Molecule: ribosomal RNA, 819 nt
Filed under: Triticum aestivum (bread wheat)
Lineage: Eukaryota; Viridiplantae; Streptophyta; Magnoliopsida; Poales; Poaceae
Description: partial small subunit ribosomal RNA
Source: RNAcentral
AUGGAUGAGGUCACAAGGGGUAUACAAGGAGAUAUCCCAUGGUGUAUGCUCUUUGCGGAUGAUGUGGUGCUAGUUGACGAUAGUCGGACGGGGGUAAAUAGGAAGUUAGAGUUAUGGAGACAAACCUUGGAAUCGAAAGGGUUUAGGCUUAGUAGAACUAAAACCGAGUACAUGAUGUGCGGUUUCAGUACUACUAGCUGUGAGGAGGAGGAGGUUAGCCUUGAUGGCCAGGUGGUACCUCGGAAGGACACCUUUCGGUAUUUGGGGUCAAUGUUGCAGGAGGAUGGGGGUAUUGAUGAAGAUGUGAACCAUCGAAUCAAAGACGGAUGGAUGAAGUGGCGCCAAGCUUCUGGCAUUCUCUGUGACAAGAGAGUGCCACAAAAGCUAAAAGGCAAGUUCUACAGGACGGCGGUUCGACCCGCAAUGUUGUAUGGCGCGGAGUGUUGGCCGACUAAAAGGCGACAUGUUCAACAGUUAGGUGUGGCGGAGAUGCGUAUGUUGAGAUGGAUGUGUGGCCACACGAGGAAGGAUCGAGUCCGGAAUGAUGAUAUACAAGAUAGAGUUGGGGUAGCACCAAUUGAGGAGAAGCUUGUCCAACAUCGUUUGAGAUGGUUUGGGCAUAUUCAGCGCAGGCCUCCAGAAGCUCCAGUGCAUAGCGGACGGCUAAAGCAUGCGGAGAAUGUCAAGAGAGGGCGGGGUCGACCGAUUUUGACAUGGGAGGAGUCCGUUAAGAGAGACCUGAAGGAUUGGAGUAUCGACAAAGAGCUAGCUAUGGACAGGGGUGCGUGGAAGCUUGCUAUCCAUGUGCCAGAGCCAUGA